UAGGGAAUCUUCCGCAAUGGACGAAAGUCUGACGGAGCAACGCCGCGUGAGUGAAGAAGGAUUUCGGUUCGUAAAACUCUGUUGUUAGGGAAGAAAAAAUGUAUAGUAACUAUAUACAAAAGAGACGGUACCUAACCAGAAAGCCACGGCUAACUACGUGCCAGCAGCCGCGGUAAUACGUAGGUGGCAAGCGUUGUCCGGAAUUAUUUGGCGUAAAGCGCGCGCAGGUGGUUUAGAAAGUCUGAUGUGAAAGCCCACGGCUCAACCGUGGAGGGUUAUUUGAAACUAAUAAACUUGAGUGCAGGAGAGAAAAGUGGAAUUCCUAGUGUAGCGGUGAAAUGCGUAGAGAUUAGGAGGAACACCGGUGGCGAAAGCGGCUUUUUGGCCUGCAACUGACACUGAGGCGCGAAAGCGUGGGGAGCAAACAGG
RNAcentral lists this ribosomal RNA (429 nucleotides) under Verrucomicrobiota bacterium. RNAcentral's name for it is "Verrucomicrobia bacterium partial 16S ribosomal RNA". It matches the Rfam family "Bacterial small subunit ribosomal RNA", at positions 355 to 776 of the family's 1533-position model. The record is from RNAcentral. Lineage: Bacteria; Pseudomonadati; Verrucomicrobiota.